RNAcentral lists this ribosomal RNA (236 nucleotides) under uncultured bacterium. RNAcentral describes it as "partial small subunit ribosomal RNA". It matches the Rfam family "Bacterial small subunit ribosomal RNA", at positions 26 to 288 of the family's 1533-position model. The record is from RNAcentral.
AGAGCGAACGCUGGCGGCAGGCCUAACACAUGCAAGUCGAGCGCCCGUAGCAAUACGGGAGCGGCAGACGGGAUAGUAACACGUGGGAACGCGCCCUUCGGUUCGGAAUAACUCAGGGAAACUUGAGCUAAUACCGGAUACGCCCUUACGGGGAAAGAUUUAUUGCCGAAGGAACGGCCCGCGUCCGAUUAGCUAGUUGGCGGGGUAAUGGCCCACCAAGACAGUGAUCGGUAUCC